This 253-nucleotide ribosomal RNA is filed under the name uncultured bacterium. RNAcentral's name for it is "partial 16S ribosomal RNA". It matches the Rfam family "Bacterial small subunit ribosomal RNA", at positions 524 to 776 of the family's 1533-position model. The record is from RNAcentral. RNAcentral also lists the same sequence under 1 other name.
UACAGAGGUCUCAAGCGUUGUUCGGAAUCACUGGGCGUAAAGGGUGCGUAGGUGGCGUGGAAAGUCAGAUGUGAAAUCCGGAGGCUCAACCUCCGAAUUGCAUCCGAUACUCCCAUGCUAGAGAACUGGAGGGGAGUCUGGAAUUCUCGGUGUAGCAGUGAAAUGCGUAGAUAUCGAGAGGAACACUAGUGGCGAAGGCGAGACUCUGGACAGUUUCUGACACUGAUGCACGAAGGUCAGGGGAGCAAACGGG